Molecule: ribosomal RNA, 497 nt
Filed under: uncultured bacterium
Lineage: Bacteria
Description: partial 16S ribosomal RNA
Rfam family: Bacterial small subunit ribosomal RNA
Source: RNAcentral
GAUGAACGCUGGCGGCGUGCCUAAUACAUGCAAGUCGAGCGAACGGACGAGAAGCUUGCUUCUCUGAUGUUAGCGGCGGACGGGUGAGUAACACGUGGAUAACCUACCUAUAAGACUGGGAUAACUUCGGGAAACCGUAGCUAAUACCGGAUAAUAUUUUGAACCGCAUGGUUCAAAAGUGAAAGACGGUCUUGCUGUCACUUAUAGAUGGAUCCGCGCUGCAUUAGCUAGUUGGUAAGGUAACGGCUUACCAAGGCAACGAUGCAUAGCCGACCUGAGAGGGUGAUCGGCCACACUGGAACUGAGACACGGUCCAGAGUCCUACGGGAGGCAGCAGUAGGGAAUCUUCCGCAAAGGGCGAAAGCCUGACGGAGCAACGCCGCGUGAGUGAUGAAGGUCUUCGGAUCGUAAAACUCUGUUAUUAGGGAAGAACAUAUGUGUAAGUAACUGUGCACAUCUUGACGGUACCUAAUCAGAAAGCCACGGCUAACUACGUG